RNAcentral lists this ribosomal RNA (497 nucleotides) under uncultured bacterium. Its description in RNAcentral is "partial 16S ribosomal RNA". It matches the Rfam family "Bacterial small subunit ribosomal RNA", at positions 28 to 507 of the family's 1533-position model. The record is from RNAcentral.
GAUGAACGCUGGCGGCGUGCCUAAUACAUGCCAGUCGAGCGAACGGACGAGAAGCUUGCUUCUCUGAUGUUAGCGGCGGACGGGUGAGUAACACGUGGAUAACCUACCUAUAAGACUGGGAUAACUUCGGGAAACCGGAGCUAAUACCGGAUGAUAUUUUGAACCGCAUGGUUCAAAAGUGAAAGACGGUCUUGCUGUCACUUAUAGAUGGAUCCGCGCUGCAUUAGCUAGUUGGUAAGGUAACGGCUUACCAAGGCAACGAUGCAUAGCCGACCUGAGAGGGUGAUCGGCCACACUGGAACUGAGACACGGUCCAGACUCCUACGGGAGGCAGCAGUAGGGAAUCUUCCGCAAUGGGCGAAAGCCUGACGGAGCAACGCCGCGUGAGUGAUGAAGGUCUUCGGAUCGUAAAACUCUGUUAUUAGGGAAGAACAUAUGUGUAAGUGACUGUGCACAUCUUGACGGUACCUAAUCAGAAAGCCACGGCUAACUACGUG